GCUGGGCACGGUGAUGCUUGCCUAUAAUCCCAGCGACUUAGGAGGCUGAGGCAGGAGGAUCACAAGUUCAAAGCCAGCCUCAGCAAUUUAUCAAGGUCCUAAGCAACUUAGUGAGACCUUGUCUCAA
Molecule: small RNA, 127 nt
Filed under: Marmota monax (woodchuck)
Lineage: Eukaryota; Metazoa; Chordata; Mammalia; Rodentia; Sciuridae
Source: RNAcentral